AUCCACAGCCAUAUCACCAUGCAGGCCAAGACCAGUUACUCACUGAGACUAACCAGGGCUGAGCCUGGUAAGAACCUGGAUGGGAGACCACAUUGGAAAACUAGGUUGCUUUUGGAA
Molecule: non-coding RNA, 117 nt
Organism: Danio rerio (zebrafish)
Lineage: Eukaryota; Metazoa; Chordata; Actinopteri; Cypriniformes; Danionidae
Source: Rfam